RNAcentral lists this ribosomal RNA (232 nucleotides) under uncultured bacterium. Its description in RNAcentral is "partial 16S ribosomal RNA". It matches the Rfam family "Bacterial small subunit ribosomal RNA", at positions 103 to 334 of the family's 1533-position model. The record is from RNAcentral.
CGGGUAGCGGAACACGUACACAACCUUCCGAUAAGUGGGGAAUAGCCCAGAGAAAUUUGGAUUAAUACCCCGUAACAUAUAGAGUAGGCAUCUUCUUUAUAUUAUAGCUUCGGCGCUUAUUGAUGGGUGUGCGUCUGAUUAGGUAGUUGGCGGGGUAACGGCCCACCAAGCCUACGAUCAGUAGCUGAUGUGAGAGCGUGAUCAGCCACACGGGCACUGAGACACGGGCCCG